AUUGAACGCUGGCGGCAUGCCUUACACAUGCAAGUCGAACGGCAGCACGGGUGCUUGCACCUGGUGGCGAGUGGCGAACGGGUGAGUAAUACAUCGGAACGUACCUUAUCGUGGGGGAUAACGCAGCGAAAGCUGUGCUAAUACCGCAUACGCCCUGAGGGGGAAAGCGGGGGAUCGCAAGACCUCGCGCGAUUAGAGCGGCCGAUGCCUGAUUAGCUAGUUGGUGGGGUAAAAGCCCACCAAGGCGACGAUCAGUAGCUGGUCUGAGAGGACGAUCAGCCAAACUGGGACUGAGACACGGCCCAGACUCCUACGGGAGGCAGCAGUGGGGAAUUUUGGACAAUGGGGGCAACCCUGAUCCAGCAAUGCCGCGUGAGUGAAGAAGGCCUUCGGGUUGUAAAGCUCUUUUGUCAGGGAAGAAACACCGGCUCUAACACAGUCCGGGAAUGACGGUACCUGAAGAAUAAGCACCGGUUAACUACGUGCCAGCCGCCGCAGUAA
This 501-nucleotide ribosomal RNA is filed under the name uncultured bacterium. RNAcentral describes it as "partial 16S ribosomal RNA". It matches the Rfam family "Bacterial small subunit ribosomal RNA", at positions 29 to 523 of the family's 1533-position model. The record is from RNAcentral.